AGCUCUGAUAGCGUAUAUUAAAGUUUUUGUAGUUAAAAAUCUUGUAAUUGGAUUUUUAGUGGGAGGGAUUGGUCCAGAGCUCUUUGUGGAAACUUGUAUCCUCUCCGGCCAUCCUUGGGUGGAUCUUGUCUGACAUUAAGUUGUCAGUCAGGGGAUGCACAUCCUUUACUGUGAAAAAAAUAGAGUGUUCAAAGCAGGCUUAUGCCAUUGAAUAUAUUAGUAUGGAAUAAUAAGAUAGGGCCCUGGUUCUAUUUUGUUGGUUUGCGUACCAAGGUAAUGAUUAAUAGGGAUAGUUGAAGAUAUUUGUAUUCAGUAUUCAGUGGUGAAAUACUCAGACCUACGAAAGACAAACUACUGCAAAAGCAUUUACCAAGGAUGCUUUCA
RNAcentral lists this ribosomal RNA (384 nucleotides) under uncultured eukaryote. RNAcentral describes it as "SSU rRNA". It matches the Rfam family "Eukaryotic small subunit ribosomal RNA", at positions 587 to 972 of the family's 1831-position model. The record is from RNAcentral.